RNAcentral lists this transfer-messenger RNA (358 nucleotides) under Gemelliphila palaticanis. RNAcentral describes it as "Gemella palaticanis Standard tmRNA". It matches the Rfam family "transfer-messenger RNA". Rfam says of the family: Bacterial tmRNA, also known as 10Sa RNA or SsrA, is named for its dual tRNA and mRNA-like properties. Its role is to liberate the mRNA from a stalled ribosome. Lineage: Bacteria; Bacillati; Bacillota; Bacilli; Caryophanales; Gemellaceae. The record is from RNAcentral.
GGGGAUGUUUAGGAUUCGACAGGAAUACUAGUCUUAUUAAUUGCAUGUAAGAGGGUUGUCUCUUUAAAAACACAACAGUUUAAAUAUAACUGACAACAAUAAAUCAUUAGCUUUAGCUGCUUAAUUAGCUAAAGGCUGAUUACUUUAUUUGACUGUGAUAAAGAUAAUCGGUUCAUAAAUUAGCAGUCUACGAAUUAAUUUUUCCGUUUGUAAAAUUAAUUAAGAAGAAAAUCAAACUCGUUUUUUACAGCUUGUUUAUUAGCUUAUAUAAAAAAUUAAAUUUAAUAAAUAAACUAAACAUGUAGAUGUUAAUGAGAGGUUUUUUUGGACGCGGGUUCAAAUCCCGCCAUCUCCAUAC